This 250-nucleotide ribosomal RNA is filed under the name uncultured bacterium. RNAcentral's name for it is "partial 16S ribosomal RNA". It matches the Rfam family "Bacterial small subunit ribosomal RNA", at positions 523 to 769 of the family's 1533-position model. The record is from RNAcentral.
AUACGGAGGGUGCGAGCGUUGUUCGGAAUUAUUGGGCGUAAAGCGCGUGCAGGCGGUCUUUUAAGUCUGAUGUGAAAGCCCCGGGCUCAACCUGGGAAGUGCAUUGGAUACUGGCAGACUUGAAUACGGGAGAGGGCAGUGGAAUUCCUGGUGUAGGAGUGAAAUCCGUAGAUAUCAGGAGGAACACCGGUGGCGAAGGCGGCUGCCUGGAACAAAGACUGACGCGUCGGGUGACGAAAGCGUGGGGAGC